UUAGCUUGGGCUAUCCUUCAUAAGAAUCCACUCAUUACUUGAUGUUUUGCUAUAGAUUAGUUGUUGUUAAUACCUUGAUACUUGUAUGUUCAUGACCCUCCUUGUUGUUUAUAACAACAAGUGUAGUGGUGAACAAUAGAGGUGCCUAAAUGGAAGCUUGUUCUUCCUACCUCAUGUAUGUAUUCUAUGACACAAAGAGGUACCUAAAUGGAGACAUUAAUCUCCUACCUCAUGCUUGAAUCAUAAGACUUGUAAACUAUAUAAUAUCUAAGUUAUUCUAUAUGUAUACAUCUAAGUAACUAAGACUUGAUGAUGACUUAAUAGUUAUUUGUUAAGUGGACGUUACAUCAUCUAUGACCAUGCCCUUGUUACGACUCUAAUGGAUCUUAGAAUCCAUGAAAUCAUACCAACUCUUUUGAGUUUCAAUAGUGUCAAGAACAAGAGUUAUGCGUACAAGAUGAUUAUUUUCACCUAUGGUUUUACCCACAAGUAAUGUUCAAGUGUGAAACUUGUUGAAUGUGUGAUGGUUGGAUUAGCUUGGGCUAUCCUUCAUAAGAAUCCACUCAUUACUUGAUGUUUUGCUAUAGAUUAGUUGUUGUUAAUACCUUGAUACUUGUAUGUUCAUGACCCUCCUUGUUGUUUAUAACAACAAGUGUAGUGGUGAACAAUAGAGGUGCCUAAAUGGAAGCUUGUUCUUCCUACCUCAUGUAUGUAUUCUAUGACACAAAGAGGUACCUAAAUGGAGACAUUAAUCUCCUACCUCAUGCUUGAAUCAUAAGACUUGUAAACUAUAUAAUAUCUAAGUUAUUCUAUAUGUAUACAUCUAAGUAACUAAGACUUGAUGAUGACUUAAUAGUUAUUUGUUAAGUGGACGUUACAUCAUCUAUGACCAUGCCCUUGUUACGACUCUAAUGGAUCUUAGAAUCCAUGAAAUCAUACCAACUCUUUUGAGUUUCAAUAGUGUCAAGAACAAGAGUUAUGCGUACAAGAUGAUUAUUUUCACCUAUGUUACUUUCUAUAUAUUAAAAACUCCGAAUCUAUAAUCUUCCGUUAUACGCCAAACUCACACACCUACGUUUCCUUGUGUAGAAGGACAAGGUGCUCCGAACUAAUUCAUCUACAAACUUGCUCUCGGAAUUUCAAGUCACCACUUGUAAACCGUGAGUAUACUCGUAUUUCCCCCUUUUUACUUUUACCACUUUUGGGGU
This 1208-nucleotide long non-coding RNA is filed under the name Helianthus annuus (common sunflower). Lineage: Eukaryota; Viridiplantae; Streptophyta; Magnoliopsida; Asterales; Asteraceae. The record is from RNAcentral.